This 417-nucleotide ribosomal RNA is filed under the name Chaetomium sp. RNAcentral's name for it is "LSU rRNA". It matches the Rfam family "Eukaryotic large subunit ribosomal RNA", at positions 1 to 424 of the family's 3401-position model. Lineage: Eukaryota; Fungi; Ascomycota; Sordariomycetes; Sordariales; Chaetomiaceae. The record is from RNAcentral.
GACCUCGGAUCAGGUAGGAAGACCCGCUGAACUUAAGCAUAUCAAUAAGCGGAGGAAAAGAAACCAACAGGGAUUGCCCUAGUAACGGCGAGUGAAGCGGCAACAGCUCAAAUUUGAAAUCUGGCUUCGGCCCGAGUUGUAAUUUGCAGAGGAAGCUUUAGGCGCGGCACCUUCUGAGUCCCCUGGAACGGGGCGCCAUAGAGGGUGAGAGCCCCGUAUAGUUGGAUGCCUAGCCUGUGUAAAGCUCCUUCGACGAGUCGAGUAGUUUGGGAAUGCUGCUCAAAAUGGGAGGUAAAUUUCUUCUAAAGCUAAAUACCGGCCAGAGACCGAUAGCGCACAAGUAGAGUGAUCGAAAGAUGAAGAGCACUUUGAAAAGAGGGUUAAAUAGCACGUGAAAUUGUUGAAAGGGAAGCGCUU